Molecule: long non-coding RNA, 1077 nt
Filed under: Homo sapiens (human)
Lineage: Eukaryota; Metazoa; Chordata; Mammalia; Primates; Hominidae
Description: novel transcript
Source: RNAcentral
AGUAAGAUAUGGUUCUCAAGGCCUGGAGAGGCAAACCAUGUCCAGAAAAGGUCCCUGAUGAUAGAACUCCCUGAGUAUUCUUGCAGAAAUGAAUAUCCACCAGGCUUCUUCUUUUUUUUUUUUUUUUUUGAGAUGGAGUCUGUCUCUGUCGCCCAGGCUGGCGUGCAAUGGUGGGAUCUUGGCUCAAUGCAAGCUCCGCCUCCCAGGUUCACGCUAUUCUCCUGCCUCAGCCUCCCAACUACUCAGGAGGCUGAAGCAGGAGGAUUGCUUGAACCCAGGAGGCGGUGGUUGCAGUGAGCCAAGGUGGCGCCACCGCUCUCCAGCCUGGCAACAGAGCGUGACUCCAUCUCAAAAAAAGAAAAAAAAAAAUUUCAGGGAUAUUUAUGUAGUGACCUGUUAUUUAAUUUUUCAAUAAUAUAAAUCUGUUUCAAGAAAAAGAAAUUUUAAAUAAACUCUUAUGAUUUUCUUUCUCCUGAAAAUUAUUCCAGAACUUAAAAAAAAAGAAGAAACAAAACAGAGUAAGUACAUUAGCUUUAUUCAACAUAGCAUCUUGUCUAGUAGUAAACUACUAAAAACAGUCUCCUGAGUGGAAAAAAUAUAAAUUUUUGUCUAUAGCAUCAGCGUUGUCCUGCGUGUUCUCAUUAUUUUCUCCAAAUAAAUUGGCUCAAUAUGCUGCUAAGUAUUACCAUUUAUGUUUAUUUUGAAGUUCUAUAUCUUGUCUUUCCUGUUUCAUCUGUAAACAGGCAAUUAUUGCCUCAGUGUGUAUUCUGAUACAUUUUCUCUCUAAAUCUAUUGUCCAACAUCUUGCAUAUAAAAUCUGGCUUUUCUCUCAUAUAUCAAAAUCACAGGUCACAUAGUCUCAGUGCCAAGAGUUAUAAGAACAACUACUUUAUUUCACUCCCAUCUCUGUGAAUACAAAACUUCAAUCUCUAAAGUAUUUUGUAUCUAUUUAUAACACUAUGUUCCUGGUUUAUUAUUAUAUUAUUUCAUUAUUAGUUCUUAAAAACUUAACAAGGUGCUGAAUAAUUUUGUGAAAUAUUCCAUGGAGAACUACCAUUAAAAUAGUGAUUACUUUAA